Dicentrarchus labrax (European seabass) is the source of this 2819-nucleotide long non-coding RNA. RefSeq lists it as uncharacterized. NCBI's taxonomy places the organism in Eukaryota, Metazoa, Chordata, Actinopteri, Moronidae. The transcript has 2 exons. The record is from RefSeq and is a predicted model, not a curated record.
GAAGUUUUCAAUUUAGAAAUGUGGGGAUUUCUUUAGAAGCACUGGAUGAGACGCACGACCAUUACGCGCAAAGCUCUUUUGGUCACUCGCUCGAUAAUAAAUCAGAAAUCCAUCGUAAGACGAAACUGUCGCUUUUUCGUUUUCGAAAAGGAUUAUACUGGCUCAGAAAAACACAGACGAGAGGAAUGGACUUGGUUAAUUGUAUUGAAACGAACGGAGCAGCUUUUACAUAGGACCAAUUGUUUGCUGAGACAGGAGAGACGGUGUCUGGAUGAGCUGUGAGCAGGAGCGGCACGUUUCCCGUCUGUUCGAGGACAACAAGAGACAUCUGGGAAGCAAGCAGGCCAAACCUGCGGCCACUGAAGAAUUGUUUAGAAAAAAAAGGAAUCAGUUCCUGAGAUUGCUUUCCCUGUGUUGUGGAAUUAUUUUAAAUUUUUUUAAGUGUGAUGCAAAUGUUUAACCAGACAAAUAAAUAAAUAAAUAAUUGAAUAAUCACCAAAUGAUCUGUUUUUGUUUUUCAGUGAUUGGAAAUGUCUUUAAUGUGAAACGUAUUUCAUUGCAAUAACACGUUUAUUAUAUAUGUAUUACACAUUUUGCAUCAGCUAGGUCAUGCAGUUUCAAUUUGUAUUUGGUGAAAUGAUUGAAAGUGUUUAUAAACGUGUUUAUUGCACGUUGCUUCCGUCGUUAACGUUGCAUUAUAUCAUAUAUCACUGCAUAUUCUGCCUGUGGGGGGAAAAGAAAAAAAAUAUAUAGUGGUACAUUCAAGCCGUGCAGUCCUUCUGGUCUGGAAAAGACAUUUGGCUUCGAGCCGUGUGUGUAUGUGAUUGUGUGUGUGUCCUGGAAACAAAGACAGGCUUUUCACAUUAUAGUUUUAUUUAUUGAACCCCCAGGAUUCAUGAGAAGAUUCGACAGCUAAAGGGUCGACAUGUGCAGAAAUGUCGUGACAACUGCAAAAAUAAAAUAAAAAUAUCAGUGAUAUGGUCAUUCUAGGCCCAUUUUGUCUCAGAAAAGAAAAAAGAAGACAAAACUAUGAAAAACGGGGAUCAUAGAAAAGGAAUAAAAGAACACUACCAGGAUAGACAACCCACCUUUUAAGACACAAUCUGUCAGUUCUCUUCCUCUCUGAUUCAAAUGUCCUUGCUCGAUGCUGUGUAGGUAAAGGCAACGAUGUAUAUGAGCGAAAGGAUUUGAAGCAAAUAGUAUGCUUUUAAAUUGAUGUUAAGUUAAAAAAAAGGAAAAAAAAGAAGAUAAUGCAGGAAAAUGAAUUGGGGAUUGCAAGUGGCUGAUGAAAGAGACUCUCUAGAAAGUAAACCAUGAAAUCUUAAUUAAUAUCAAGUGUUGUUCUCUGCAAAAAAGACUAGCCUAUAAUAACACACACAUAUCCCAUCCACAUCUAAAACAACAGACUAUUGGCAGUGAAGAUAAGUAGAUGAAACAGACUCUAGCUCUAGUGUGUUCAUGACUUUACUUCCCUGAACUUCUCCUCCAUACUUCAUUCAUAGCCUCCUCUGUCACCGGUGGUGUCAUGAGGUUUGAUGUAUAGGUGUCAUGAGAGGUCACGCCGCAUACAUCCAGCAACUUUCUGUUUUCCUGCAGCACGGCUCCUCAAAUGACUGUUUGCAUGGAAGAUAUCCAUCCAAACGUGCAUUGGGAUCAGACAGGAAUGCCUUUUACGCACAACACAGUUCCCUAGCGAGGGGAGAGACUUUACUGCAGGCUUGUGUCAAAUAUCAUGUUUUUGAAAAAUGGGAACAUCAGUUGUCCGCAAUAUCUUUACAUUUUUCCCCAAAAAAGGUAUGAGAGACUUAACGAGCUACAUGUGGGUGACCUUUGGGGGUGAGAGUGGUGGAGGCAGAGAGGGUGGGGGAUGGGGUGAGGGGGUGUUGAGAGCUAACUAGGAGGUUUGUUGGGGUAUCUCUCACUUUUUUAAGACCUCAAGUUCAUCGUGCAGUUGGGGUCCAGUAAGGCCCAAUCCAGCUCCUGGAAAAAAGGGAAGUGAUGACAUGCCUCUGAAAAUGUGUGUGUGUGUGUGUGUGUGUGUGUGUGUGUGUGUGUGUGUUUGUCACGUGUGUCAUGCCACCUCAGUCACGACCUGCAAAACAUUUCGUGAAUGCAUGCCUAUAUCGCUAUUUUGUAUCAAUUUAUUAUUGAUUAUCACAGCUUAGAAUAUUCCUCUAAACUAUUCAAAAGCACUAUGCACAGCCAUAAACUAUUGUGGUUUUGUCUCAGAAUCUGUAAUAAAAAGUAAAGGAGCCCCUGGCCAAACAGAGUCCCUCUUUAAUUAAAUAAAGAUUUUUAAAGAGCUAUUUGUGCCUUAGAUGCCGAUAAAAUGAAACAGAACACGCAGCAGGACUGGAUGAUUUACGACCAAAACGACACAACUUGUGCAACCCUGGAAUACACGGGGAGUGGUCUCGGUGUGCCCUGAACGCAUCAUCCAGUUUGAAUAUUGUUCUUCAGAUGAGCCGCUGCCUCCACCUGCUGGCGGUGGGAGCUCAGUAGCACUCGGAUGAGAACAGAGCACUGACACCAUCAUCAGGACACAUGGUGUUGGUUAAUUUAAUUCAAAGUUUUGGGCUUUUUCUUUAGUUUAGUGUAUUUUUAUUUUUAAUUGUGUUCAUUAAAUAAAGUGAUUUAUCUUGAGGAACUGGUUUCAGCGUGUGAAACAUGUUCAGUCAGUGUGUGUGUGUGUGUGUGUGUGUGUGUGUGUGUGUGUGUGUGUGUGUGUGUGUGUGUGUGUGAGUGUGUGAGUGUGUGUGUGUGUGUGUGUGUGUGUGUGUGUGUGUGUGUGUGUGUGUGUGUGUGUGUGUGUGUGUGUA